This 119-nucleotide non-coding RNA is filed under the name Mycolicibacterium rhodesiae. Its description in RNAcentral is "Mycobacterium rhodesiae SAM-IV sequence". It matches the Rfam family "SAM (S-adenosyl methionine) riboswitch aptamer". From Rfam's summary of the family: SAM-IV is a mRNA element that regulates gene expression via direct sensing of S-adenosylmethionine (SAM or AdoMet). SAM-IV riboswitches share conserved nucleotide positions with the previously described SAM-I riboswitches sequence analysis and molecular recognition experiments suggest that SAM-I and SAM-IV riboswitches share similar ligand binding sites, but have different scaffolds. Lineage: Bacteria; Bacillati; Actinomycetota; Actinomycetes; Mycobacteriales; Mycobacteriaceae. The record is from RNAcentral.
GGUCAUGAGCGCCAGCAUCAAGCCCCGGCUUGCUGGCCGGCAACCCUCCAACCGCGGUGGGGUGCUCCGGGUGAAGACCAGGUUGAGCAGUCGAUAGCGGCUGCCGGCAAGCGCGGGUC